CCUGACAACCCAGGCCAAAAGUCCAGGGAACUUAAUUUGCUAGCACUAUAUUUAACCCUGUAACUUUCCAAGACACCAUAAAACCUGUACAUGAUGGGUACUGUUUUACUCGGAAGACUUUGCUGAACACAAAUAUUAGUAUUUCAAAAUACACAAUGUGAAAAAACUGAAAAAUGUGACAUGCUAUAUUUGACCCUGUAACUUCCUAAAACACCAUAACUCCUGUACAUAGGGGUACUGUUUUACAUUUGAGACAUGGCUGAAUACAGAUAUGUGUAUUUUAUUGCAGUAAAAGCAAACCGUACUAUGACAUUCACAGUUAGAAUGUCACGUAGAACCAAAAAAAAAA
This is a non-coding RNA of Pelobates cultripes (western spadefoot toad), 349 nucleotides long. Lineage: Eukaryota; Metazoa; Chordata; Amphibia; Anura; Pelobatidae. The record is from the annotation of a GenBank genome assembly.